Molecule: small nuclear RNA, 300 nt
Filed under: Nannospalax galili (Upper Galilee mountains blind mole rat)
Lineage: Eukaryota; Metazoa; Chordata; Mammalia; Rodentia; Spalacidae
Description: 7SK RNA (ENSNGAG00000005769.1)
Rfam family: 7SK RNA (bases 1-264)
About the family: 7SK was discovered as an abundant small nuclear RNA in the mid-70s but a possible function has only recently been suggested. Two independent studies have found that 7SK RNA binds the CDK9/cyclin T complex (known as elongation factor P-TEFb).
Source: RNAcentral
GGGCGAUCUGACUGACACAUCUGGCACCUCGUUGAUUGUUAGUGUUGAUUCAAUUGAUCUGUCUGGCUAGGUGGGUGUUCCCUUCUUCAGGUGCAUCUCUCCAGAAGUUGUGCAUCUGAUAGAGGAAGACCCAUCUUCUGUCAAGGGUUUACAAGUUGUUGUGCUCACCUACUAGAACCUCCAGAAAACAAACUCUCAACUCUCACCAGGGAAGGUUCUUCUUGUAGCUGAUGGCGAUUAACACAGACACCCACACUGAGCAGUAUCUAGAGGAUAAGAGACUGUGGAGCUCUCAACUCU